GCGCCCGUAGCUCAACAGGAUAGAGCGACGGCCUCCGGAGCCGUAGGUUGUGGGUUCGAUUCCCGCCGGGCGUACCA
RNAcentral lists this transfer RNA (77 nucleotides) under Candidatus Zhuqueibacterota bacterium. Its description in RNAcentral is "candidate division KSB1 bacterium tRNA-Arg". It matches the Rfam family "tRNA". From Rfam's summary of the family: Transfer RNA (tRNA) molecules are approximately 80 nucleotides in length. Their secondary structure includes four short double-helical elements and three loops (D, anti-codon, and T loops). Lineage: Bacteria; Pseudomonadati. The record is from RNAcentral.